Eutrema salsugineum is the source of this 106-nucleotide small nucleolar RNA. It matches the Rfam family "Plant small nucleolar RNA R71". From Rfam's summary of the family: R71 is a member of the C/D box family of snoRNAs containing the C (UGAUGA) and D (CUGA) box motifs. Multiple nearly identical copies of this snoRNA have been identified in Arabidopsis, and it is thought to function as a 2'-O-ribose methylation guide for 18S ribosomal RNA. The record is from Rfam. Lineage: Eukaryota; Viridiplantae; Streptophyta; Magnoliopsida; Brassicales; Brassicaceae.
AAACCAUGAUGAGGGCAGUCUCUCUCAUACUCCUUGAAUCGCUCCCAGGCUUCAUAGAAUGAUUCUAUUAGGCCUUGUUGGAAACUUUGUAUCUUGUUUCUCAGCU